UACAUGGGGUGCAAACGUUGCUCGGAAUCAUUGGGCGUAAAGCGCGCGUAGGCGGUUACUUAUGUCGGAUGUGAAAGCCCUCGGCUUAACUGAGGAAGUGCAUUCGAAACUGGGUAGCUAGAGUACUAAAGAGGGUCGCGGAAUUCCCGGUGUAGAGGUGAAAUUCGUGAGAUAUCGGGAGGAACACCGGUGGCGAAGGCGGCGACCUGGGUCAAGACUGACGCUCAUGCACGAAAGCGUGGGGAGCAAACGAGG
Molecule: ribosomal RNA, 255 nt
Filed under: uncultured bacterium
Lineage: Bacteria
Description: partial 16S ribosomal RNA
Rfam family: Bacterial small subunit ribosomal RNA
Source: RNAcentral